UACGUAGGGUCCGAGCGUUGUCCGGAUUUAUUGGGCGUAAAGAGCUCGUAGGCGGUUCCGUAAGUCAGAUGUGAAAACUCAGGGCUCAACCCGGAGACGCCAUCUGAUACUGCGGUGACUGGAGUCUGGUAGGGGAACACGGAAUUCCUGGUGUAGCGGUGAAAUGCGCAGAUAUCAGGAGGAACACCGAUGGCGAAGGCAGGUCUCUGGGCCGGAACUGACGCUGAGGAGCGAAAGCGUGGGGAGCGAACAGG
This 254-nucleotide ribosomal RNA is filed under the name uncultured bacterium. RNAcentral's name for it is "partial 16S ribosomal RNA". It matches the Rfam family "Bacterial small subunit ribosomal RNA", at positions 524 to 776 of the family's 1533-position model. The record is from RNAcentral.